GAUACAAAGGGGACACCUGAGAAGACCGGAAAAUAACAGAAAGGGGCCCGGGAUGAAGACAUUCUGGGAAGGAAAUACCAAACAAGAGUUCCAUAGAGGAUUCUUCAGAAACCAUGUGAGCUGCAAGUGUCCCAGAUUCCAGGGAUGGGGGCGUGCUCAGACCAGCCACGCGGCUGUGGCCGUGACCGUGUGCCCAUUCACACCACCCCCUCGGGCCUCUUCCUCCUAACAGGAGCUCUCAAAAUCGGCGCUGGUGUGGAGAUGAGCCCUGCCUUGGGGACCACUGACCCGACCACGUCCCAAAGAUAAUUAACAUGGAUUCCAGGAAAUGAAAACGAACAGAAUGCUACAAAACAAAGAUUAUCCUCUGAGCCAAGCUGCUGUCUCUCUGAGAAUGUCCAGGCAAUUUACAAAUUGCAUGUUUUUUCUCUAAGUCAUUUAAGUUCAGAGGAGAAAGCAGCUUUGUUCCUGUGGUUGUGAAGUUUACCACCCUGAAAUAGACCUUCGUUUGUACAUACAAACACACGUGCACCCCAGGACUGCUGGCAUGCUCCAUUCUAUCCACGUGCCCGGUCACAUGGAGACUUUCAUGGACUGACCCCAACAAGACGCAUGGUUCAAGAACAUGCACAGCAGCCCGAACGCAGACAAUACCCAUGUAAACAAUGUCUGGAGGACCUUGCAAGUUGGCAGAACCCCGACAAAGGCCAUGUGGUGAGGAGGCUGGCGCUUCAGGGACUCUGAGGAGACGCUGGCUCUGGCAUUCUGCUGGAGGGGGCACCCCGCCAGUUUCUUAGUGGGAGAAUUGAUUGUACAAGGCCCUGUUGGCUCAGAUCAACAUAUUUCUAACUGCUGCUCCAAGGGAGAGACCCCACAGUUGCAACAUCUCCCUUCUGCUACGUGGGCUUUGCAGUUUCUGCCAGAGAAAUGAUUGAUUGGCCUCUGAGUUCAUUGCUGCUGAGAAGAUUUUGUCUAUGGGACCAGGAGCAAGAGAAAGCCAGAAAGGACAUAGUCCUGCUCUGCCCUAGGGUGACUGGCUUUCAAGGAAUUCUGUGUUUAGGGUUAGAGGCAAGGACUCCCCUCUGCAGGCCGAGUGCACGCUCGGCGGGAAGGGAGUGCUGCUUCUCCUUGGCUCAGCCACAAGCCCUUCC
Pan troglodytes (chimpanzee) is the source of this 1151-nucleotide long non-coding RNA. RefSeq lists it as uncharacterized. The transcript is spliced from 3 exons. Lineage: Eukaryota; Metazoa; Chordata; Mammalia; Primates; Hominidae. The record is from RefSeq and is a predicted model, not a curated record.